GGGCCGGCGAGAUCCGAGGCGCCGGAGUCUGGAGAACGGCCUCUCUCUCUCCCCGGUGGUUGCGGGUCGGGACGGCCGGGAGGGUCUCGGCGGGAGCGCGGCGGUUUGCUGCUCGUUUUUGCGGCUCCUCCAACCGCGACGAGCUGGUGUUGCGCCCGUUCCCGCCCGGGAGCUGGACUGUGUGGCGGGCCGCCCUUAGAGCUCCAAGCCCAGAGUAGCAGACGCGGUCUUGUUUAUCUGGACGCUGCAGUUCUGGUGUCUGAAUCCCAGAUCUGGGGCCUGACUCCCGAGAGAGACUGAGGGUGCCAAGAUGAGUUUCCAGUGCUAGCAUUGCAGCUGUAUUUUGCUAAAAGCAGUAAGAAUUGAGGACUUCCCGUGAACAUCUAGUAUGCAAAUGAAUGAAGAGCAGUAUUUGUGGUCCGGAGCCAGCUGCCACAUUGUGAGAGGUACACUACAGAAAAGUCCACAUGGCAAGGAACUGCCAUGUUCCCUAGAGGGAUGCCUCUAGGCAACGGUCUGCAAAGAACUGAGGCCUUCAGUGCAAUAGCCCACAAGAAGCUAACUCCUGCUGACAACCAGGCUGUUAGAAUUCACAUUUCAAAAAAAGAAAAAAAAAAAAGGAACUCACAUUUUCACCAGCAAUGUGAUUUAAAAGUCACAAUUUCUACACCUUUGAAGGAAGAAGGGGACUCUUAAAUUUCCCAUUUCCCAGCCCCAAACACCUAAAAUUUAAGAAAAUGAAAUUUUUGAAGCAUUGAAUACUUUUCACCAGAACUAGUUACAUGGCUGAUUGAAGACCAUCAACAUGCAACUUCUGAAAACUGAAGAUGAUGCCUGUUUCAGGUUUUUCCACCUUUCAGAGAUGACUUUAUUUCUUGAUCCAGCAGCUCUGGGAUCAUGCAAACACCAGUGAAGACGGACGACUCCAAAGAAGGAAUAAGGAGUAAGAGGUGCCAAAGGCUGUGCUAAACCAAGACCUUGUCAGGGUACCACAGGGGUGUGUCAGGACGGGCAGGGCACAGGCUCUGCUCAACUCAUUCUGCUCUACUCUGCUCCACACCUUGUAUAUGCUUUAAAAGAGCUUUUCUAGCACCGGGGCCCAAGGGUACUGCUUAGUGAGUAACCCUAUCAAAUGCCCAGGCGGUGUGAGCCAUUAGCACCGUUUGCCUCUGCUUUCCAGUGAGUAACCAGAGAUGUGACAGCAUGAAUUAGAAGGCAACCAAAUCUCAGUUCUCUUCUCUUUUUCUGUUGAAAAGCCCUAUGAACAAGGUCCUUGUCUGCAACAUCGUAGGGAUUAUUCUCAAACUGUCACGUAAUUUCAAAAAUUAAUCACCUUAAAUUAUAUUUCAUUUUUAUCUCAUUUUCAAGAAUCAUCUAACUUUCCUAUCCUUUCAUCUAACACCUCAUAAACUUCUGAGUCCCCAUUUUCUAGGUAAAAUGAGCUUCCUGAGUUUCUCUAGGUGCCCAUCUCAGUGACUUACAAGUCCAGUCAGUUUGCGGAGACCACGUUUGAAGACUUCUUUGAUUCCCUGGUAUAGUGCAUGAACAAGAGAUGAUACUACCACAAAUAUUCCCGAAGAAAACUCUAAAUUAGAGAAGGGCAAUCCCCACACUGCAUAAGCCAUUUUGUUUUUCCAGAAGAUACCAUGAUAGAAUGUUGAACAGAACAAGCCCAGACAUGAAAUGAUGGAUCCAAAAUUAAUGGGAGUUAUCUGAACAUGGUUGAGUUUGAAA
Neogale vison (American mink) is the source of this 1734-nucleotide long non-coding RNA. RefSeq lists it as uncharacterized. The transcript is spliced from 5 exons. The record is from RefSeq and is a predicted model, not a curated record. Lineage: Eukaryota; Metazoa; Chordata; Mammalia; Carnivora; Mustelidae.